GGCGGCAGGGAUGCGAUGGCGGAGUCGCUGCCCCUGGAGAUGCUCACAUAUAUUCUGAGCUUCCUGCCUCUGUCAGAUCAGAAAGAGGCCUCCCUCGUGAGCUGGGCUUGGUACCGUGCCGCCCAGAAUGCCCUUCGGGAGAGGCUGUGGCUACCCUGUGCUUCCAGCAACCAGGCCUUACCUCCCUGGACCUCAGUGGCUGCUCAGAACUGACUGAUGGGGCGCUCUUGGCCGUGAGCCGUGGCCUGCGGCACCUGCGGCGCCUGAGCCUGGGGAAGCUGCAGCGGCUGACAGACGCAGGAUGUACAGCUCUGGGUGGCCUGCAGGAGCUGCAGAGCCUCGACAUGGCCGAGUGCUGUCUGGUGAGAGGGCGGGAACUGGCCCAGGCCCUGAGCUCUGUGCACGGGGCUCCAUCCCAGCUGGCCUCCCUCAGCCUGGCCCACUGUUCUUCAUUGAAGGUGCUCCAGUUUCCCCAGCUGAGGCAGCUGUCCCUUAGCCUGUUGCCAGAACUCACAGACAACGGCUUGGUGGUUGUGGCCAGGGGCUGUCCUAGCCUGGAGCACUUGGCGCUGAGUCACUGCAGCCGCCUCAGUGACAAGGGCUGGGCCCAGGCAGCCAGCUCCUGGCCGAGGCUGCAGUAUCUCAAUCUGUCCAGCUGCAGUCAGCUCACAGAGCAGACACUGGAUGCCAUUGGGCAGGCGUGCAGGCAGCUCCGGGUGUUGGAUGUGGCCAUGUGCCCUGGCAUCAACAUGGCCGCCGUCAGACGCUUCCAAGCCCAGCUGCCCCAGGUGUCCUGCGUCCA
Molecule: small RNA, 802 nt
Filed under: Pongo abelii (Sumatran orangutan)
Lineage: Eukaryota; Metazoa; Chordata; Mammalia; Primates; Hominidae
Description: processed transcript
Source: RNAcentral